AGGAAGUAAAAGUCGUAACAAGGUUUCCGUAGGUGAACCUGCGGAAGGAUCAUUACAACACUUCUUGGACACCACAUUGUGGGUCCUUGUGUCAAUGUACCUUUUUUCUUUUUUAUACUCUUGUAAAACUAGCAGUCUGACUAGGCCAUGUGCCUUUUUAAUGAAAUAAGUUAAAACUUUCAACAACGGAUCUCUUGGCUCUCGCAUCGAUGAAGAACGCAGCGAAAUGCGAUAAGUAAUGUGAAUUGCAGAAUUCAGUGAAUCAUUGAAUCUUUGAACGCACAUUGCGCCCUUUGGUAUUCCUUAGGGCAUGCCUGUUCGAGCGUCACUACAAACCCUCUCACAUUGUAAUAAUGUGUGGUAUUGGCAGAAGUUGUAGGGACCUUUCCCAGAAUCCACUCUGCUGAAAUAUAUCGUGCAGAUAUCCCAUACUGGUAAAUGACUUUUUUAUGCUAAAGCGUUCAACGCUCUCCAGCACUUGAGUCAGUUGGCCAUUGGUAGAACCGCACGUUAUCAGGACCCCCAUCCUUUGUAUAUAUCUUUGGGUUGACCUCGGAUCAGGUAGGGAUACCCGCUGAACUUAAGCAUAUCA
Molecule: ribosomal RNA, 592 nt
Filed under: Tuber japonicum
Lineage: Eukaryota; Fungi; Ascomycota; Pezizomycetes; Pezizales; Tuberaceae
Description: eukaryotic LSU rRNA
Rfam family: 5.8S ribosomal RNA (bases 175-328)
Source: RNAcentral